Molecule: long non-coding RNA, 901 nt
Organism: Musa acuminata subsp. malaccensis (wild Malaysian banana)
Lineage: Eukaryota; Viridiplantae; Streptophyta; Magnoliopsida; Zingiberales; Musaceae
Source: RefSeq, a predicted model, not a curated record
CAGGAAAAACGGAAUCUUUUAUAGCAAGUUUUAGUAAAUGUGAACCUGUUCACAAGGUGUUGGAUUUGAGAUAUUGAAGGAUGGAGCAGUUUUUGAUAUGUUUAGUUUCUUAGAUGCUCGACAUCUAUGAUAAAGCAAAUUGGGGACAAAAACACGUUGGUUUACGUGCGCUCUAAGUUCGUGGAGGAAACGUCAAGAUUAAUUGCCUGUGGAUCCUCGAUUCUUCUGCAGCGUUCAGUGAAGAAAAUAAUAGUAAGAAUAACGCGAGAUGUGGACAACCCAUUUUGAUGCCGCUCGACGGCACCUUAUCACCAACCACAUCAUCUGCGAGAUGUGGACAAAUCCAUGCUUGGAUAGUGUUUUCCUAAUUGCACGUGGAUAGGAUCCUUGUAGGGGUUCGUGAGGUUGGUCAUAAGGAUUGGAUUGACCUCAACGGUAAUCUCUUGUUUGAUUCUCAAGUAGGAAGAGCCACAAAACAGGACUUGGUUGGAUCAACCCUAUCCCUCUCAAUUGACAAUGACAAUCAGAAUCAUCAUUAACAACUGAAAAGUGGAGUCAGCCAGAAGUUUUGAUCCAAUCAAGGAGUUCAUUUUACUUCUUUGCUCGGUGUUGCAAGAGGCUCUCUGAUCUCCUCAGAUACCUGAUCAUAUCUUAGAAAAUAAUGUUGAAGUGGAGAUAGACGGGACCAUAGACAUUGUCUUGUUCAGCUAAUGCAUGUGGAGUAGCGAGUACCAAACAAGCCAAAUUUCCUCGGAAAUGAACUCCCAAGUGACUGAAUACCCCUUUUCCUCUCUUUUUUGUUUUCUGUGUAUUUUUCACUGUCAGUUUUGGGCCAAAUAAUUUUGUUACACAAUUGAUCAUUUUCAUAGUGUCUAAUAUGGGAUAUGAAGAUGAUUAAUAU